Molecule: transfer RNA, 64 nt
Filed under: Clostridioides difficile
Lineage: Bacteria; Bacillati; Bacillota; Clostridia; Peptostreptococcales; Peptostreptococcaceae
Description: tRNA-Lys
Source: RNAcentral
UUAGUUCAGCUGGUAGAGUACCUGAUUCUUAAUCAGGGUGUCUCGAGUUCGAACAUUGGAAGUA